GAUCAAGUGUCUUAAGGGCAUUUGGUGGAUGCCUUGGCAUGCACAGGCGAUGAAGGACGUGAUACGCUGCGAUAAGCGUCGGGGAGGUGCGAAUACCCUUUGAUCCGACGAUUUCCGAAUGGGGCAACCCACCUUAGAUAGCUAGAAAAUCAAUUUAGUUGGAGCAACGCUGUUGGGUUUAGGCCCAUACAGACCGCUAGGUCGUCGGCCAUGUGGGCCGCCCCGCGGAGCGCCAGCAUCGUAAGAUGCGUACGGCGCGUGAGCGAGAACUAAAUUAAUUUCUAGUUAUCGUAAUAAGGUAUCUACACCUGAAUACAUAGGGUGUUAGAAGCGAACCUGGGGAACUGAAACAUCUAAGUACCCAGAGGAAAGGACAUCAAACGAGACUCCGCUAGUAGUGGCGAGCGAACGCGGACCAGGCCAGUGGCAAUAGGAAUAAAGUGGAAGAACCUGGAAAGGUUUGCCGAAGUGGGUGAUAGCCCCGUACACGUAGAACACCUGUUGUCCUUGAGUAGGGCGGGACACGUGAAAUCCUGUCUGAACAUGGGUCGACCACGAUCCAAGCCUAAGUACUCGUGCAUGACCGAUAGCGAACCAGUACCGUGAGGGAAAGGUGAAAAGCACCCCGACGAGGGAGUGAAACAGUACCUGAAACCGGAUGCCUACAAACAGUUGGAGCCCAAGGUUCGUCCUGGGUGACAGCGUACCUUUUGUAUAAUGGGUCAGCGACUUAGUGUAUCGAGCAAGCUUAAGCCGGUAGGUGUAGGCGCAGCGAAAGCGAGUCUGAACAGGGCGUUCAGUUCGAUGCAUUAGACCCGAAACCAAGUGAUCUAGCCAUGAGCAGGUUGAAGGUACGGUAACACGUACUGGAGGACCGAACCCAUAUCUGUUGCAAUAGAUCGGGAUGACUUGUGGCUAGGGGUGAAAGGCCAAUCAAACUUGGAGAUAGCUGGUUCUCCGCGAAAUCUAUUUAGGUAGAGCGUCCAGCGAAUACCCCCGGGGUAGAGCACUGAAUGGGCUAUGGGGACUCACCGUCUUACUGAUCCUAAUCAAACUCCGAAUACCGGGGAGUACUACUGGGCAGACACACGGCGGGUGCUAACGUCCGUCGUGGAGAGGCAACAACCCUGACCACCAUCUAAGGUCCCUAAGUUAUGGCUAAGUGGGAAAGGAUGUGAGGAUCCCAAAACAACCAGGAUGUUGGCUUAGAAGCAGCCAUCAUUUAAAGAAAGCGUAACAGCUCACUGGUCUAAAUAAGGGUCUUUGCGCCGAAAAUGUACCGGGGCUAAAGCCAUACACCGAAGCUGUGGAUGCACAUUUGUGCGUGGUAGCGGAGCGUUCCGUAAGCCUGUGAAGGGACAGUCGUGAGACAUCCUGGAGGUAUCGGAAGUGAGAAUGCUGACAUGAGUAACGAUAAAGGAGUGAGAGACUCCCUCGCCGAAAGUCCAAGGGUUCCUGCUUAAAGUUAAUCUGAGCAGGGUUAGCCGGCCCCUAAGGCGAGGCCGAAGGCGUAGUCGAUGGGAACCACGUUAAUAUUCGUGGGCCUGCAGGUAGUGACGGAUCGCGUGUGUUGUAAGGUCUUAUUGGAUUGAUCUUGCAGCGAAGCGGUUCCAGGAAAUAGCUCCUGCAUAUAGACCGUACCCUAAACCGACACUGGUGGACUGGUAGAGAAUACCAAGGCGCUUGAGAACUGCGUUGAAGGAACUCGGCAAAAUGCACGCGUAACUUCGGAAGAAGCGUGACCUCCAUUUAGGCAACUAGGUGGGGGUGGCACAGACCAGGGGUAGCGACUGUUUACCAAAACACAGGGCUCUGCGAAGUCGCAAGACGACGUAUAGGGUCUGACGCCUGCCCGGUGCUGGAAGGUUAAGAGGAUUGCAAGCAUGAUUGAAGCGUAAAGCGGCCGUACUAUAACGGUCUAGGUGCGAAAUUCUUGUCGGGAAUUCGACGCACGAUUAACCUACAUGAAUAAGACGAUGGUAAUGCCCCUGCUUAUUCUCUGUGAACUAGCCCCAUUUCGACCGG
This 2025-nucleotide ribosomal RNA is filed under the name Brucella anthropi. Its description in RNAcentral is "23S ribosomal RNA". It matches the Rfam family "Bacterial large subunit ribosomal RNA", at positions 1 to 1990 of the family's 2925-position model. The record is from RNAcentral. Lineage: Bacteria; Pseudomonadati; Pseudomonadota; Alphaproteobacteria; Hyphomicrobiales; Brucellaceae.